CAAGAUGUAUUAAAAGCCAUCCAAGGUCAAGACUCUGAUCAGACUCUUCAUGUCUCAUGGCAGGCCAUUGACAAAAACUCUCAAGUGCCCAUGCUCAAUCUCGCAAAUACAGAGAAGUGUCUAGAGAUCUUUCUCUCCACCGAAGGAAGUCAAUGGCUAGGAAGAAAGGAUUAAAGAACUUGAGAGUCUUUCUCAAGCUCAGGGACAAUGAGAUUCUACUUGAGGAAUCUGAGAACACCUCAGCUGACUAGCAAAAAAGGGCACGCUUAGAAAGGGAAUGGAAAAAAUAUAGGAAGAGAUCAUCAAGCUGCAAAGGAAGCUUGGUGAUUCAAGAGCAAUUUUGCAGGUUCUUCAAGCAAAAUCUCUCCUGCCCACAUGUCAAAUCUGUGAGAAUCCACCUUGAUUAAGUCCUUAUACAA
RNAcentral lists this small RNA (419 nucleotides) under Histoplasma capsulatum. Its description in RNAcentral is "hypothetical RNA". Lineage: Eukaryota; Fungi; Ascomycota; Eurotiomycetes; Onygenales; Ajellomycetaceae. The record is from RNAcentral. RNAcentral also lists the same sequence under 1 other name.